RNAcentral lists this small RNA (245 nucleotides) under Paenibacillus polymyxa. RNAcentral's name for it is "BsrG". It matches the Rfam family "BsrG". Rfam says of the family: bsrE, bsrG and bsrH pair through intermolecular interactions with antisense sRNAs. SR4 interaction with the 3'UTR of bsrG RNA promotes bsrG degradation and inhibits its translation. SR5 also overlaps bsrG from nucleotide 163 to 52 (Rfam overlap check). Lineage: Bacteria; Bacillati; Bacillota; Bacilli; Caryophanales; Paenibacillaceae. The record is from RNAcentral.
UACAAUAUGCGGCUAUAAAGGGCGGUCGGCUAGUCUCCCAGAAGGGAGGUGAUGCCCAUGGAGGUCAAAGAUGCUAUCUCCUUAAUGAUCAUGUUUGGUAUGUUCAUUUUGGCGUUACUUACCUACAUGAAAAAGAAAUAGACCGCCCUGACCAAAGGUAAACGGUCUAUUCUCGACCAUAUCUUACGCGGCCGACUGCUCUUUAUGCAGUUAUUGUAUGGUGGAGUCGUGUUAGCGCACGGCUC